RNAcentral lists this transfer RNA (74 nucleotides) under Dehalococcoidia bacterium. RNAcentral's name for it is "tRNA-Cys". It matches the Rfam family "tRNA". From Rfam's summary of the family: Transfer RNA (tRNA) molecules are approximately 80 nucleotides in length. Lineage: Bacteria; Bacillati; Chloroflexota; Dehalococcoidia. The record is from RNAcentral.
GGCGGCGUAGCCAAGCGGACUAAGGCGGGGGACUGCAAAUCCCCUAUACACGGGUUCGAAUCCCGUCGCCGCCU